This is a long non-coding RNA of Pipra filicauda (Wire-tailed manakin), 4189 nucleotides long. RefSeq lists it as uncharacterized. The transcript has 2 exons. The record is from RefSeq and is a predicted model, not a curated record. NCBI's taxonomy places the organism in Eukaryota, Metazoa, Chordata, Aves, Passeriformes, Pipridae.
UACACACUGAUGAACUGGUCUCAGGUGUUCUAACUAGGACACCUGGUCCUGCUGGUCAUACUAUUUUUGAUAGUGUGCCAUUGAUAGGAUGCCACUGACCCUGUUGGCCACUGGGCACACUGCUUGCUCACAUUCAGCCACUGUUGACCAGCACCCCCAGGUCCCUUUCUGCUGGGCUGCUUUCCAGCUGCUCUUCUCCAAGACUACCGCUGCCUGAGGGUGUUGUGACCCAAGUGCAGGACUUGACACUUAACCUUAUUGAACCUCAUACAGUUGGCCUUGGCCCAUGAAUCUAGCUUUUCCAAAUACCUCUGCGGCACCCUCCUACCUUCCAGCCCAUCAGUACUUCCGCUCAACUUAGUGUUGUCUGUGAACUUGCUGAGGGUGCACUUGAUCCCCUCAUCCAGAUCAUCAGUGAAGGUAUUAAACAGGACUGGCCCCAAUACUGAGCCCUGGGGAACCCUGAUAGUGACUGGUCACCAACUGGAUGUAGCACCAUUUACCACCACUCUCUGAGCCUGACCAUUUAGACGGUUUUUUACCCAGCAAACAAUGCACCUGUCCAAGCUUCUCCAGGAAAAUGCUGUGGGAGACAGUAUCAAAGGCUUUGCUGAAGACCAGGUAGACCAUAUCCACAGCCUUUGCCUCAUCCGCUAUGUGGGUCACCUGGUCUUAAAAGGAGAUGAGGCUGGUCAAGCAGGACCUGCCUUUCAUAAACUUCUACUGGCUGGGCCUGAUCCCCUGGUUGUCUUGUACAUGUCACAUGAUGGCACUCAGGACAAUCUGGUCCAUAACCUUCCCCGGCACCAAGGUCAGGUUGACAGGCUUGUAGUUCCCCAGACCCUUCUUCCAGUCCUUCUUGUAGAUGUACAUCACAUUGGCCAACCUCCAGUCAUCUAGUACCUCCCUGGUUAACUGGGACUGAUGAUAAAUGAUGGAUUGGCUUGGAGAGCUCCUCCACCAGCUCCUUUAGCACCGUCAGGUAAAUCCCAUUGGGCCUCAUAGACUUGAGUGUGUCCGAGUGGAACAGCACAUCAGUAACUACUUCCUCCUGGAUACCAUGGCACCUACUCUGCUCCCAGUCCCUGUUUACCAGCUUGGGGGGACCAGUUCAGCUGAGGAUAACUGGUCUUUCUGUUGAAGACGAAGGGAAAGGCAGCAUUAAGUACCUCAGCCCUUUCUUCAUCCUUGGUUACAAUGGUCCCCUCCGCAUCCAAUAAAGGAUGGAAAUUUUCCUUGGCCCUCUUUUUGUUGUUAAUGUAUUUAUAAAAACACUUUCAGUUAUCUUUCACAGCAGUGGCUGUUCUAGCCACUCAGAUUGAGUUCUAGCUGAGCUUUCGCCUCUCUAAUUUUUACUCUAUGUGACCUAACAACAUUCUUGUAUUCUUCCUGAGUUGCCUAUCCCUUCUUCCAAAGGUUAUAAACUCUUUUUUGUCCCUGUAUUCCAGCAAAGCUCCCUGUUCAUCCGGGCUGGUGGUCUUCCCUGCCAAGGGAAGCACAUAGGGAUAGUCUGCCCCUGCACCCUUUAGAUUUCCUUUUUAAAGUAUGUCCAGCCUUCCUGGACCCUUUUGUUUUUAAGGGCUAUUUCCCAAAGGACUCUCUGAACCAGUGUCCUGGACAAGCUGAAGUCCCCCCUCCAGAAGUCCAAGGCAGAAGUUUUGUUGACCCCCUUCCGUACUUCACUGAGGAUUGAAAAACCUUAUCAUUUCGUUGUCGCUACCCAGUACAGCCUGCAACCACCACAUCUACCACCAGCCCUUCUCUGUUCAGAAACAGCAGGUCUGUCGGGGCACUGCCAACAUUUAAGAGGAUGUCCCAGCAUCACUACCCACCACCCCCCCUCCACUCAGUAGUGGAAAUCCUAUUGACAUCAAUCAAUGCACAAAUACCAUUUGUUUCUGAAGUCACACAGGAGUAAGAAAAGCAAUUCUCUUAGGACAAUGUGAACCCCUAAUUUGGCAAUAAAUAAAACCCACCCAGAUUUGGGUUACACAAUAUUAGUUCUGUAUAGAAGGUUUCCCCAUCGAGGAACUCUUGCACUGAACACAACUGAAACCCAUUGCAGGAUCAUAUAUCACAAGGUUCAGAGGAAAUUUUGUGAACCUUUCCCACACAUUUCCAAUCUAUACAUAUUAAAAUUCCAGUCAAUUAGGAAUUGCACUGCUUAAUUACCCAGCACAGGUUUACCAUUGUUCUAGUGUACAGCUAUUCCACGCUAUCAACAACAGCAAGCUUACUGUGCUGUAAACUAGCUGGGAAAGAGAGAUUGACCAUGUUAUGUCCUGCUCUACAGAGAUUGCAAAGCGUUCAAGGCUGCCAAAGCACUUACCUGAGCUGCCUCUCUUCUGCUCUUUAAGGUGCAUGCUAUAAAGGAAAUGCUAAAAUCCCCGUAGCUAACCAAGAACUGAAAGGUUAGCUUUGUUUCCACUGCAAGAACUCAAGACAGACUUUAAUCCCAGCUUCAAUAUGUAAAAUUCACAGACAAAAUGAGACAUUCCGUCUCCUUAUUUAUGCUUACCUGAAAGCUGAUCUAGUGAUCUUUCCAGGUUUUGUCAGAGUCCAAUAGCCUGUGUUUCACACUUCACCUCAGUUAUUAAGGGCUUCCAGUUACAAGAUAAAAAGGAUAAUAGUACAGCAUUAUAAAUUUGGCAUUAAUUAUUUGAGGAAAAUAUCUAAGAGCAUCACUUUUAAGCUAAGAACAUUUGUCUCCCUCUAGGAACACUUCACAUUGCUGUUUAGCACCCUGUGUGAGAGAUGUAAUAAAACAUUGGAGCUUGUGUUACUGUGCAGUUCUGCAGUGUGUGCAUGAUUGGUUUUGUUGCUUCAGGCUCCUCUGAAUAGGGAGCGAUUCAUCUCUAGGAGGCUAAUUUCUUGCAGUUGAGUGCAGGAUUUUAAUAAAUAAACCCAAAAGUGAAGUGCCCUUUUGAACAGCCCUCAUAUCAGCAGGUAAUAUCAGUAAUUUAGGAAACUCAAACCAUUCACCAUUCCAUCCAAUGUAUUGUGAUCUGUACUGGAUUAUUUAUUUAUUUUUAAUACAUUAUAAGUUAUCUCUUUUGUUGUAAUUAAGAUCUUUCAACACCACUGAGAAAUUUUAACCCCAGAAUGCUGAAGAUGAAUUAUUUGAAGGACAAGUAGUUAAAAUACUGAAUAAAAAUACAUUUUUGAUUGACCAGUUUACAAGUCAUUUGCACCGGUGAGAACAAAGAACGUGUUUUCUACAGUAACAGAUGCUGAGCCAUCCUCUCCUGAAUGAAGACCUGGAGAAAGAGCUUUGAAGAGGUCACUGCCUGUCACAGGCUUCUUGUCCUGCUUGGCUCUGCUCCUGGGCUAAUCCUACCACUUGGCAUCACUGUUUGCUCACUGCCCUUCAUCCAGGUGAGUCCAAAAGCGGGAGCCAGACUUCAAAUGGGAAAUCCUCUCAAGCAGCAUAGCAAAACUUUUGCUGUGAUUUGAACCAUUCUGUGUGGCUGCUUAAGAAUUUAUAGUUAUUCUGUUCCCUUUUUUCCCUCAGGAAAAUCAGUAAAAAAUUUGAAAAAACCUCAUUCCCCAAGGAAGACAUAACUUCUGAAAGCAUUUUUUUAAAGGAAAAUGAACUACUAUGGCAGUAUCUCAUCUUAAUACUUUGAUGUCUCAAAAAAAGAAAUAAAUACAAAACCCAGAAACAUAUGCUGUUUCUAUCUGUGCUUGUUUCACUGAAAUAGUGUUUUCAAACUGAAAGUGAUGAAGGAGUGUGGGAAAUAUUGAAAAGUAAUGAAUCAAUUUCAAUCAAUUUUAAUUCUAGUAUAAGAGGAAGUAAUGCCACUUGUUGAAAACAAAGCAAUCAUUUCUGACAGCUAAAUUUGCAAGAGACCUAUUGCUGUCUGGAGGGAGGUAAAGCUGGAUGCUUCCCUGCUUCUGCCUCCCCAUUACUUGACUUUCAGUGCUGUUUGAUAUGUUCUAGUGAAGUUUCUCUGUAUCCUGUGACUCUUAUUUUUCUUCCCUUAAAUCAGCACUCCCACACAAACAGAAUUAUUUUUUUCCCAGUUUUAACUUGGAACUUGGACUUUAGUAUGGAAAAAUGUAUGUAUCUGUUUUAUAAAAAUACUUUUCUUAAUGAAAGACAUCUUGAUUUAAAGUAGUUGUUAGGGAAAUUUGGAAUGAUAGUAUUGCUAGAAUAAAAUUAAAAAUAAAGAUAAGAGUGGAAAGAUCA